RNAcentral lists this ribosomal RNA (301 nucleotides) under uncultured bacterium. RNAcentral describes it as "partial 16S ribosomal RNA". It matches the Rfam family "Bacterial small subunit ribosomal RNA", at positions 509 to 807 of the family's 1533-position model. The record is from RNAcentral.
CAGUCGCCACGGGAAUACGUAGGGUGCGAGCGUUAAUCGGAAUUACUGGGCGUAAAGCGUGCGCAGGCGGUUGUGUAAGACAGGUGUGAAAUCCCCGGGCUUAACCUGGGAACUGCGCUUGUGACUGCACGGCUAGAGUAUGGCAGAGGGGGGUAGAAUUCCACGUGUAGCAGUGAAAUGCGUAGAGAUGUGGAGGAAUACCGAUGGCGAAGGCAGCCCCCUGGGCCAAUACUGACGCUCAUGCACGAAAGCGUGGGGAGCAAACAGGAUUAGAUACCCGUGUAGUCCCUGUCUCUUAUAC